RNAcentral lists this ribosomal RNA (425 nucleotides) under uncultured bacterium. RNAcentral describes it as "partial 16S ribosomal RNA". It matches the Rfam family "Bacterial small subunit ribosomal RNA", at positions 354 to 796 of the family's 1533-position model. The record is from RNAcentral.
GUGGGGAAUCUUGCGCAAUGGGCGAAAGCCUGACGCAGCCAUGCCGCGUGAAUGAUGAAGGUCUUAGGAUUGUAAAAUUCUUUCACCGGGGACGAUAAUGACGGUACCCGGAGAAGAAGCCCCGGCUAACUUCGUGCCAGCAGCCGCGGUAAUACGAAGGGGGCUAGCGUUGCUCGGCAUUACUGGGCGUAAAGGGCGCGUAGGCUGACAGUUUAGUCAGAGGUGAAAGCCCAGGGCUCAACCUUGGAAUUGCCUUUGAUACUGGCUGUCUUGAGUACGGGAGAGGUGAGUGGAACUCCGAGUGUAGAGGUGAAAUUCGUAGAUAUUCGGAAGAACACCAGUGGCGAAGGCGACUCACUGGACCGUUGUUGACGCUGAGGUGCGAAAGCCAGGGGAGCGAACGGGAUUAGAUACCCGUGUAGUCC